This 449-nucleotide ribosomal RNA is filed under the name uncultured bacterium. RNAcentral's name for it is "bacterial SSU rRNA". It matches the Rfam family "Bacterial small subunit ribosomal RNA", at positions 354 to 796 of the family's 1533-position model. The record is from RNAcentral.
GUCGAGAAUUUUUCUCAAUGGGGGAAACCCUGAAGGAGCGACGCCGCGUGGAGGAUGAAGGCUUUCGGGUUGUAAACUCCUGUCAUUUGAGAACAAGGUGCGUACGUUAACUGCGUACGUAUUGAUAGUAUCAGAAGAGGAAGAGACGGCUAACUCUGUGCCAGCAGCCGCGGUAAUACAGAGGUCUCAAGCGUUGUUCGGAUUCAUUGGGCGUAAAGGGUGCGUAGGUGGCGCGGUAAGUCGGGUGUGAAAUCUCGGAGCUUAACUCCGAAACUGCAUUCGAUACUGCCGUGCUUGAGGACUGGAGAGGAGACUGGAAUUUACGGUGUAGCGGUGAAAUGCGUAGAGAUCGUAAGGAAGACCAGUGGCGAAGGCGGGUCUCUGGACAGUUCCUGACACUGAGGCACGAAGGCCAGGGGAGCAAACGGGAUUAGAAACCCUUGUAGUCC